RNAcentral lists this ribosomal RNA (482 nucleotides) under uncultured bacterium. RNAcentral's name for it is "partial 16S ribosomal RNA". It matches the Rfam family "Bacterial small subunit ribosomal RNA", at positions 30 to 507 of the family's 1533-position model. The record is from RNAcentral.
AUUGAACGCUGGCGGCAUGCUUUACACAUGCAAGUCGAACGGUAACAGGCCGCAAGGUUCUGACGAGUGGCGGACGGGCGAGUAAUGCAUCGGAACGUGCCCAGUCGUGGGGGAUAACUACUCGAAAGAGUAGCUAAUACCGCAUACGAUCUAUGGAUGAAAGCGGGGGACCGGAAGGCCUCGCGCGAUUGGAGCGGCCGAUGUCAGAUUAGGUAGUUGGUGGGGUAAAGGCUCACCAAGCCAACGAUCUGUAGCUGUUCUGAGAGGACGACCAGCCACACUGGGACUGAGACACGGCCCAGACUCCUACGGGAGGCAGCAGUGGGGAAUUUUGGACAAUGGGCGCAAGCCUGAUCCAGCAAUGCCGCGUGCAGGAAGAAGGCCUUCGGGUUGUAAAGUGCUUUUGUACGGAACGAAACGGCUCUGGUUAAUACCCGGGGCUAAUGACGGUACCGGAAGAAUAAGCACCGGCUAACUACGUG